CGGCGGCGCGCUAUAAUACAUGCAAGUCGGACGCUGUAUUAGAGGGUAGCAAUAUUCUCUAGUUGGAGUGGCGCAAGGGUGCGUAACACGUGGCCAAUCUGCCGUGAAGUUUGGGAUAACUCGCUGAAAGGCGAGCUAAUACCGGAUGUGAUGAUUGGUUGCCAUCAAUUGAUCAUUAAAGCUGGGGACCCGCAAGGGCCUGGCGCUUCAUGAUGAGCCCGCGGCCUAUCAGCUAGUUGGUGAGGUACGGGCCCACCAAGGCAAAGACGGGUAGCUGGUCUGAGAGGACGACCAGCCACACUGGAACUGAGACACGGUCCAGACACCUNCGGGUGGCAGCAGUCGAGAAUUUUUCACAAUGGGCGCAAGCCUGAUGGAGCGACGCCGCGUGGUGGAUGAAGGGUUUCGAUCCGUAAACCCCUGUCAUUUGCGAACAAUGUCUAUCCAACNACACUGGAUAACUUGAUAGUAGCGUAAGAGGAAGGGACGUCUAACUCUGUGCCAGCAGCCGCGUUAACACAGAGGCCCCAAGCGUUGUUCGGAUUCACUGGGCGUAAAGGGUGCGUAGGUGGCCGUGGAAGUUCGGUGUGAAAGCUCGGAGCUCAACUCCGAAAUGUCAUUGAAUACUCUACGGCUGGAGGGUCGGAGGGGAGACUGGAAUUCUCGGUGUAGCAGUGAAAUGCGUAGAUAUCGAGAGGAACACCAGUGGCGAAGGCGAGUCUCUGGACGACACCUGACACUGAGGCACGAAAGCCAGGGGAGCAAACAGGAUUAGAUACCCUGGUAGUCCUGGCUGUAAACGGUGCACGUUUGCUGUGAGAGGAAUCGACCCCUUUCGUGGCGGAGCUAACGCGCUAAACGUGCCGCCUGGGGAGUACGGUCGCAAGAUUAAAACUCAAAUGAAUUGACGG
RNAcentral lists this ribosomal RNA (911 nucleotides) under uncultured Verrucomicrobiales bacterium. RNAcentral describes it as "bacterial SSU rRNA". It matches the Rfam family "Bacterial small subunit ribosomal RNA", at positions 37 to 916 of the family's 1533-position model. Lineage: Bacteria; Pseudomonadati; Verrucomicrobiota; Verrucomicrobiia; Verrucomicrobiales. The record is from RNAcentral.